RNAcentral lists this ribosomal RNA (658 nucleotides) under Rhodotorula mucilaginosa. RNAcentral's name for it is "eukaryotic LSU rRNA". The stretch from base 72 to 658 matches the Rfam family "Eukaryotic large subunit ribosomal RNA", at positions 1 to 584 of the family's 3401-position model. Lineage: Eukaryota; Fungi; Basidiomycota; Microbotryomycetes; Sporidiobolales; Sporidiobolaceae. The record is from RNAcentral.
UUCUAGUCUUCGGACUAGAGCCGGGUUGGGUUAAAGGAAGCUUCUAAUCAGAAUGUCUACAUUUUAAGAUUAGAUCUCAAAUCAGGUAGGACUACCCGCUGAACUUAAGCAUAUCAAUAAGCGGAGGAAAAGAAACUAACAAGGAUUCCCCUAGUAGCGGCGAGCGAAGCGGGAAGAGCUCAAAUUUAUAAUCUGGCACCUUCGGUGUCCGAGUUGUAAUCUCUAGAAAUGUUUUCCGCGUUGGACCGCACACAAGUCUGUUGGAAUACAGCGGCAUAGUGGUGAGACCCCCGUAUAUGGUGCGGACGCCCAGCGCUUUGUGAUACAUUUUCGAAGAGUCGAGUUGUUUGGGAAUGCAGCUCAAAUUGGGUGGUAAAUUCCAUCUAAAGCUAAAUAUUGGCGAGAGACCGAUAGCGAACAAGUACCGUGAGGGAAAGAUGAAAAGCACUUUGGAAAGAGAGUUAACAGUACGUGAAAUUGUUGGAAGGGAAACGCUUGAAGUCAGACUUGCUUGCCGAGCAAUCGGUUUGCAGGCCAGCAUCAGUUUUCCGGGAUGGAUAAUGGUAGAGAGAAGGUAGCAGUUUCGGCUGUGUUAUAGCUCUCUGCUGGAUACAUCUUGGGGGACUGAGGAACGCAGUGUGCCUUUGGCGGGGGUUUC